RNAcentral lists this ribosomal RNA (253 nucleotides) under uncultured bacterium. RNAcentral's name for it is "partial 16S ribosomal RNA". It matches the Rfam family "Bacterial small subunit ribosomal RNA", at positions 524 to 776 of the family's 1533-position model. The record is from RNAcentral.
UACGUAGGGGGCAAGCGUUGUCCGGAAUCAUUGGGCGUAAAGCGCGCGUAGGCGGCCCUGUAAGUCCGUUGUGAAAGUCGAAGGCUCAACCUUCGAAAGCCGAUGGAUACUGCGGGGCUAGAGUCCGGAAGAGGCGAGUGGAAUUCCUGGUGUAGCGGUGGAAUGCGCAGAUAUCAGGAGGAACACCAAUAGCGAAGGCAGCUCGCUGGGACGGUACUGACGCUAAGGCGCGAAAGCGUGGGGAGCGAACAGG